This 62-nucleotide transfer RNA is filed under the name Dacrila fallax. RNAcentral describes it as "tRNA-Ile". Lineage: Eukaryota; Metazoa; Arthropoda; Insecta; Coleoptera; Staphylinidae. The record is from RNAcentral.
GCAGGAUGCCUGAUAAAAGGACUAUUUUGAUAGAAUAGGGCAUGUAAAUUUUACUCCUGUUA